This 100-nucleotide signal recognition particle RNA is filed under the name Acididesulfobacillus acetoxydans. RNAcentral's name for it is "Bacteria_small_SRP". It matches the Rfam family "Bacterial small signal recognition particle RNA". Rfam says of the family: The signal recognition particle (SRP) is a universally conserved ribonucleoprotein involved in the co-translational targeting of proteins to membranes. Lineage: Bacteria; Bacillati; Bacillota; Clostridia; Eubacteriales; Peptococcaceae. The record is from RNAcentral.
GCUUUGGGCUUGCGCAACAGGACUCUUCGAACUGUGUCAGGUCCUGACGGAAGCAGCACUAAGGAGUACGUCCCGUGUGCCGCAAGGGUGCCGGGGCCGA